Melanotaenia boesemani (Boeseman's rainbowfish) is the source of this 802-nucleotide long non-coding RNA. RefSeq lists it as uncharacterized. The record is from RefSeq and is a predicted model, not a curated record. NCBI's taxonomy places the organism in Eukaryota, Metazoa, Chordata, Actinopteri, Atheriniformes, Melanotaeniidae. The transcript is spliced from 3 exons.
GAAAUAAAAAGGAACGGGAAGAAAACACUGCUGAUCCUGAGGAUGCUGCCGCCUACUCCACCAUCAUCUACACCAAGAAGACCAAGAAUAAAAGAUGUGUCCCUGACCCUGUGAUCUACAGCAACGUGAGAGUUUUUUCCAACUGAUCUAAACAGCUCCAGUUCUACCAUCAACAAACCAAAGUAUUUUCAAAAAGCUUCACAACUUCUUUGUACAGGAAGGAGCAUCUUUCCCACCUUGAACAGGAAGAGUUAAAAGUGCUCGACCAUGAUACAGACUUGUUGCAGAUUACCAGUUACAGUAUCAGCUGUGUGAGGCAUGAAACUGAGGUGGAGAGUAUGGGAAAGAAGAGAGAAUAUGAAAAACAUAGUGGUUAGUUUACUGUUUCUUUACAUGAUUUUUUAUUUCCUUUCAUCCUUUUAAUCUUUAACUCUUGUUUAAUUCUCUCUAUCUGCAAAUGAACACAUACUGGUAUCUGUUAAAUCUGAUUUUAUGUAUCUCUGCUAUGCUUUACUGUGAAUAAUGACUCACACAGGACUACAAAUACCUUUACCUGUAUGGUUUGACACCUUUUAAGUCACAUGACUGUUGCCUGUUGAGGUUUUAAUGAUAAAAAAAACCAAACAUCUCUGCUGCAGUUGUUCCCACGUUCAUUUAAAGUUAGCAUCUAACACAAACUAACACCUCAUUAACCACUGAUGCUCCACCAUGAUGAGCCUCAUGACAUCAUGCUUUAAUGUUCAGUUAUUUUAACAUAUAAACCUUUGAGUGGUCUAGCACCUCUCUGCUUCAGCCCUACACU